AUUGAACGCUGGCGGCAUGCUUUACACAUGCAAGUCGAACGGUAACAGGCCUUCGGGUGCUGACGAGUGGCGAACGGGUGAGUAAUGCAUCGGAACGUACCCAGAGGUGGGGGAUAACGCAGCGAAAGCUGUGCUAAUACCGCAUGUGAUCUGAGGAUGAAAGCGGGGGACCGAGCAGCAAUGUUUGGCCUCGCGCCUUUGGAGCGGCCGAUGUCGGAUUAGCUAGUUGGUGGGGUAAAGGCCUACCAAGGCGACGAUCCGUAGCUGGUCUGAGAGGACGACCAGCAACACUGGGACUGAGACACGGCCCAGACUCCUACGGGAGGCAGCAGUGGGGAAUUUUGGACAAUGGGCGCAAGCCUGAUCCAGCAAUGCCGCGUGCGGGAAGAAGGCCUUCGGGUUGUAAACCGCUUUUGGCAGGAACGAAACGGUGUCCGCUAAUACCGGGCGCUAAUGACGGUACCUGCAGAAUAAGCACCGGCUAACUACGUG
Molecule: ribosomal RNA, 492 nt
Filed under: uncultured bacterium
Lineage: Bacteria
Description: partial 16S ribosomal RNA
Rfam family: Bacterial small subunit ribosomal RNA
Source: RNAcentral